UAUUGCACAGUGGGCGCAAGCCUGAUCCAGCCAUGCCGCGUGUAUGAAGAAGGCCUUCGGGUUGUAAAGUACUUUCAGCGGGGAGGAAGGGAGUAAAGUUAAUACCUUUGCUCAUUGACGUUACCCGCAGAAGAAGCACCGGGUAACCCCGUUCCAGCAGCCGCGGUAAUACGGAGGGUGCAAGCGUUAAUCGGAAUUACUGGGCGUAAAGCGCACGCAGGCGGUUUGUUAAGUCAGAGGUGAAAUCCCCGGGCUCAACCUGGGAACUGCAUCUGAUACUGGCAAGCUUGAGUCUCGUAGAGGGGGGUAGAAUUCCAGGUGUAGCGGUGAAAUGCGUAGAGAUCUGGAGGAAUCCCGGUGGUGAAGGCGGCCCCCUGGACGAAGACUGACGCUCAGGUGCGAAAGCGUGGGGAGCAAACAG
RNAcentral lists this ribosomal RNA (421 nucleotides) under uncultured bacterium. Its description in RNAcentral is "bacterial SSU rRNA". It matches the Rfam family "Bacterial small subunit ribosomal RNA", at positions 362 to 775 of the family's 1533-position model. The record is from RNAcentral.